CCUACGGGCGGCAGCAGUCGAGAAUCAUUCACAAUGGGGGAAACCCUGAUGGUGCGACGCCGCGUGGGGGAAUGAAGGUCUUCGGAUUGUAAACCCCUGUCAUGUGGGAGCAAAUUAAAAAGAUAGUACCCCAAGAGGAAGAGACGGCUAACUCUGUGUCAGCAGCCGCGGUAAUACAGAGGUCUCAAGCGUUGUUCGGAAUCACUGGGCGUAAAGCGUGCGUAGGCUGUUUCGUAAGUCGUGUGUGAAAGGCGCGGGCUCAACCCGCGGACGGCACAUGAUACUGCGAGACUAGAGUAAUGGAGGGGGAACCGGAAUUCUCGGUGUAGCAGUGAAAUGCGUAGAGAUCGAGAGGAACACUCGUGGCGAAGGCGGGUUCCUGGACAUUAACUGACGCUGAGGCACGAAGGCCAGGGGAGCGAAAGGGAUUAGAUACCCGGGUAGUC
This 446-nucleotide ribosomal RNA is filed under the name uncultured bacterium. RNAcentral describes it as "partial 16S ribosomal RNA". It matches the Rfam family "Bacterial small subunit ribosomal RNA", at positions 338 to 795 of the family's 1533-position model. The record is from RNAcentral.